RNAcentral lists this unclassified non-coding RNA (2450 nucleotides) under Hevea brasiliensis (rubber tree). Lineage: Eukaryota; Viridiplantae; Streptophyta; Magnoliopsida; Malpighiales; Euphorbiaceae. The record is from RNAcentral.
CUCUCUCUCUCUCUCUCUAUCUAUCUAUCUAGAACAUAGAUUCUAGGGUUUUUUCCAGAGGAAAAAAAGAGGAAUUCUCCAGCGGUGAGGGAAUUGGGAAACAUGGCCUCCAAUCCCGCUAAUCUGUGGGUGCUACUGGGGCUGGGUCUCGCCGGGAUUCUCUUAAUGACGAGGAAAAUGAAGAAAGCGACGAGGGAAAAUUUUGGCGCCUUUGUCGAGAAGCUUAUGCUCCUUCCUCCGCCGCAGCCUGCUCCUCCGAAAGCUCCUCAUCUCCUCACUGGCCUCACCUUCGCCGUCUCUGAUAUAUUUGACAUUGAAGGAUAUGUGACUGGAUUUGGUCAUCCAGAUUGGGUGAGGACACAUGAGGCAGCUUCUCGGACAUCUCCUGUAGUUUCAGUUCUUGUUGAAGGUGGUGCCACUUGCAUUGGGAAAACAGUUGUGGAUGAACUGGCUUAUAGUAUCAAUGGAGAAAAUAAGCAUUAUGGUACACCAAACAAUCCUGCAGCACGUGCAUGUGUACCUGGUGGAUCCUCGAGUGGAGCUGCUGUUGCUGUAGCUGCUAAUCUUGUUGACUUCUCUUUAGGUGCUGAUUCUGUUGGUGGUGUUAGAGUACCUGCUGGCUUUUGUGGCAUUAUAGGAUUCCGACCCUCAUAUGGCACCAUCCCUCUCUUUGGGGUUUUACCUGUUUCAGCAAGUCUGGACACUGUUGGAUGGUUUGCUAAGGAUCCAAAUGUUAUGCGUCGUGUUGGACAUUUGCUCUUGCAGCUGCCUUUUGGAAUUCAACGAAAUCCAAGGCAAAUUAUAAUAUCUGAUGAUUGUUUUCAACUAUUAAAGAUUCCCAUUGACAGGGUUGUGCAGGCGGUGAUUAAAUCCACCGAGAAGCUUUUUGGAAGACAAGUAUUGAGGCAUGAAAAUCUUGAUGAUAUUCUCUUUUCUAAAGUUCCAAGCUUAAAACAGUUCCAUGACAAAAAACCAAAUGGUGAACUCAGAAAUUCUUCAAUAAAAUUGCUUGCAAAAAUUUUGCAGCUUUUACAUAGAGAGGCUGUUUCCUCUGAGAUAAGGAAAAAUGCAACAAACUCUUCUGUGACUGAUAUGAAUUCAGAUGUAAUCAUGAGGAAUGGAUUAAUGUGGAGAAGCCUAAUCUUGAUCAUCAUAACUCUGCACAGAUAAAUGAAAUCCUAGAGAUAACAGAUAAGGAUGUUGAUAUUUUUAAAUCCAUCAGAAAUGAAAUGCGUGCAGCCAUUGACUCACUUCUGAAGGAUGAUGGAAUUCUGGCUAUCCCUACAACUGCUUAUCUUCCCCCAAAACUCGGUGCAAAAGAGAUGUUUUCGGAGGACUACCAGAUUCGUUCAUUUAGCCUGUUGAGUAUCGCAAGCCUAUCAGGUUGCUGUCAGGUGACUAUUCCGCUUGGACAUUAUGAGAAGCGACCUGUUUCAGUAUCCUUUAUAGCCAGGCAUGGGGGUGAUCGCUUUUUGCUGGAUACUGUACAUAACAUGUAUGCAUCUCUGCAAGAGCAGGUUGGUAUGCUUGCCAAGUCCAAAUUAUCUCCUAAUGUGGACAGUAAGGAAAGAACUGCUGACAUGGCUAAAGAAAAGGGCAACCAAGCUUUCAAAGAUAAGCAGUGGCAGAAGGCUAUUGGCUAUUAUACCGAAGCAAUCAAACUCAAUGGCAAGAAUGCAACAUAUUAUAGUAACAGAGCUGCAGCAUAUCUUGAAUUAGGGAGUUUUGUUCAAGCUGAGGAUGAUUGUACUGAAGCUAUCAACCUUGAUAAGAAGAAUGUAAAGGCCUAUUUACGCAGAGGCACAGCGAGAGAGAUGAUUGGUUAUUAUAAGGAGGCAAUUGAAGAUUUUAAAUAUGCCCUGGUGCUGGAGCCAACUAAUAAAAGAGCUGCCCUUUCUGCUGAAAGAUUAAGAAAGUUGUUUGUGUAGAAGAUUGAAGAAUGCGUCUGUCUAGGAAUGGCGAAGUAUACAAUUUAUCAUUUUUUAUGAAAGCCUUAUAUCAAUCUCUGUUCAGCAGACGGCAUUAUUCAACAUUUUGAUGAUCGUUACUUCUCAAUCAUCUCACACAAAAAUUUCUUUAAGAGUGCUUCACAAGUAGAGACGGGAGAGUAAUCCUUCUUCAUGGAACGUAUGGAGGUCUGAAAUUAUUUUUGUUUGAUCCAGUAUUAGUUUUUAGCAUAUAUAACUGGGUAGUUAUCGCUAUUAUUAGAAUUUUGUAAGUAUGGUACAAUUUUGUUUGUUUUAAUAUCUUUAUGUAAGGGUUGUAAUUUUAGUUUUGAGGUGGUUUAAUAUAUAUUUGACCUAGAAUUGAUCAAAAUUUUGAUUAAUUGAAGCUGUAUCGGAACAGGAUCAAAACCGAUUGGUUUGGUUUCGGGUUAGAAAAGAAAAAAAUAAGAAAAAUCAACCAUCAAAUUUGAUUAAAAUGAGAUCAAGUCGGAUUGAAUUGAAACA